GACGAACGCUGGCGGCGUGCUUAACACAUGCAAGUCGAACGGUGAAGCUCCAGCUUGCUGGAGUGGAUCAGUGGCGAACGGGUGAGUAACACGUGAGCAACCUGCCCCUGACUCUGGAAUAAGCGCUGGAAACGGCGUCUAAUACUGGAUACGAGAAGGGUCCGCAUGGGCACUUUCUGGAAAGUUUUUCGGUUGGGGAUGGGCUCGCGGCCUAUCAGCUUGUUGGUGAGGUAAUGGCUCACCAAGGCGACGACGGGUAGCCGGCCUGAGAGGGCGACCGGCCACCCUAGGACUGAGACACGGCCCAGACUCCUACGGGAGGCAGCAGUGGGGAAUAUUGCACAAUGGGCGAAAGCCUGAUGCAGCGACGCCGCGUGAGGGAUGACGGCCUUCGGGUUGUAAACCUCUUUCAGCAGGGAAGAAGCGAAAGUGACGGUACCUGCAGAAGAAGCACCGGCUAACUACGUG
RNAcentral lists this ribosomal RNA (468 nucleotides) under uncultured bacterium. Its description in RNAcentral is "partial 16S ribosomal RNA". It matches the Rfam family "Bacterial small subunit ribosomal RNA", at positions 28 to 507 of the family's 1533-position model. The record is from RNAcentral.